The sequence is a ribosomal RNA, 489 nucleotides long. It matches the Rfam family "Eukaryotic large subunit ribosomal RNA", at positions 2860 to 3401 of the family's 3401-position model. The record is from Rfam.
ACUCUGCUUUUUGAUUCUUCGAUGUCGUCUCUUCUGAUCAUCGUAGUGUAUAUUUUACGAAGUGUUGGAUUGUUCACCCGGUAAUGAGGAACGUGAGAUGGGUUUAGACCGUCGUGAGACAGGUUAGUUUUACCCUACUGUGAGUAUAUUUGAGUGAACUUUGAUAGUACGAGAGGAACUCUAAGUGAUGACCACUGGUGGUGCGAUUAACUAUUCAGUUAUGUUGCUUAGCUACGUCAUUUCGAUUAAGGCUGAAAGCCUCUUAAGCCUGAAGCGUAGCUCAAAUAUAUAAUUGGGAGAAUACUACUCUAUUAAGCAGAACUGUAAGGAUGAAGGUGUAUACCGACAUCUUGAGGUUACUGCUUUUAUAACUUAGAGUAGGUUUGGUCCUCCAUAAUAAGAGCGUCCACGUCGCGGAGGGUGGGACUGAAGUUUUUAUAAUCUUUGGUGCGAAUCUUAUAAGUCUUACCACACCUUCUGGCUGCUGGC